CUACGGGCCGCUGCAGGCGCGAAACCUCUUCAAUGCACGACAGUGUGAAAGGGGGAUCCUACGUGCUUAUGUAAAACAUAGGCUUUUGCAUAGUGUAAAUAGCUACGCGAAUAAGGGGUGGGAAAGACCGGUGCCAGCAGCCGCGGUAACACCGGCGUCCCAAGUGGCAAUCGUUAUUAUUGGGCCUAAAGCGUUCGUAGCCGGAUUGGCAAAUCUUUUGUGAAAUCGCUUGGCUUAACCAAGUGGCGUGCAGAAGACACUACCAAUCUAGGGACCGGGAGGAGUUAGGAGUAUUCUGGGGGGAGCGGUAAAAUGUUAUAAUCCUCGGAAGACUACCUGUGGCGAAGGCGCCUAACUAGAACGGAUCCGACGGUGAGGAACGAAGGCUAGGGGAGCAAACCGGAUUAGAUACCCGAGUAGUC
Molecule: ribosomal RNA, 422 nt
Filed under: uncultured archaeon
Lineage: Archaea
Description: partial 16S ribosomal RNA
Rfam family: Archaeal small subunit ribosomal RNA
Source: RNAcentral